UCGCCAGGAGUAAGUUAGUCAACCUUGAAAUACCACCCUUUAUUUGCUUGAAGUCUAACGCGUUUACGCGAACAGUGCGUGGUGGGUAGUUUGACUGGGGUGGUCGCCUCCAAAAGAGUAACGGAGGCUUCUAAAGGUGUCCUCAGCACGCUUGGUAACCGUGCGUAGAGUGCAAUAGCAUAAGGACGCUUGACUGUGAGACCGACAAGUCGAGCAGGGACGAAAGUCGAGUAUAGUGAUCCGGUGGUUCCGCAUGGAAGGGCCAUCGCUCAAAGGAUAAAAGGUACUCCGGGG
This 294-nucleotide ribosomal RNA is filed under the name Karenia brevis. RNAcentral's name for it is "partial Bacterial large subunit ribosomal RNA". It matches the Rfam family "Bacterial large subunit ribosomal RNA", at positions 2168 to 2473 of the family's 2925-position model. The record is from RNAcentral. Lineage: Eukaryota; Dinophyceae; Gymnodiniales; Kareniaceae.